This 253-nucleotide ribosomal RNA is filed under the name uncultured bacterium. RNAcentral's name for it is "partial 16S ribosomal RNA". It matches the Rfam family "Bacterial small subunit ribosomal RNA", at positions 524 to 776 of the family's 1533-position model. The record is from RNAcentral.
UACGUAGGUGGCAAGCGUUGUCCGGAUUUACUGGGCGUAAAGGAUGCGUAGGCGGACAUUUAAGUCAGAUGUGAAAUACCCGAGCUUAACUUGGGUGCUGCAUUUGAAACUGGGUGUCUAGAGUGCAGGAGAGGUAAGUGGAAUUCCUAGUGUAGCGGUGAAAUGCGUAGAGAUUAGGAAGAACACCAGUGGCGAAGGCGACUUACUGGACCGUAACUGACGCUGAGGCAUGAAAGCGUGGGGAGCAAACAGG